RNAcentral lists this ribosomal RNA (467 nucleotides) under uncultured bacterium. RNAcentral's name for it is "partial 16S ribosomal RNA". It matches the Rfam family "Bacterial small subunit ribosomal RNA", at positions 28 to 507 of the family's 1533-position model. The record is from RNAcentral.
GACGAAAGGGGGGGGCGUGCUUAACACAUGCAAGUCGAACGGAAAGGCCCUGCUUUUGUGGGGUGCUCGAGUGGCGAACGGGUGAGUAACACGUGAGUAACCUGCCCUUGACUUUGGGAUAACUUCAGGAAACUGGGGCUAUACCGGAUAGGAGCUCCUGCUGCAUGGUGGGGGUUGGAAAGUUUCGGCGGUUGGGGAUGGACUCGCGGCUUAUCAGCUUGUUGGUGGGGUAGUGGCUUACCAAGGCUUUGACGGGUAGCCGGCCUGAGAGGGUGACCGGCCACAUUGGGACUGAGAUACGGCCCAGACUCCUACGGGAGGCAGCAGUGGGGAAUAUUGCACAAUGGGCGGAAGCCUGAUGCAGCAACGCCGCGUGCGGGAUGACGGCCUUCGGGUUGUAAACCGCUUUCGCCUGUGACGAAGCGUGAGUGACGGUAAUGGGUAAAGAAGCACCGGCUAACUACGUG